This 942-nucleotide ribosomal RNA is filed under the name Pseudoalteromonas spongiae. RNAcentral's name for it is "bacterial SSU rRNA". It matches the Rfam family "Bacterial small subunit ribosomal RNA", at positions 45 to 985 of the family's 1533-position model. The record is from RNAcentral. Lineage: Bacteria; Pseudomonadati; Pseudomonadota; Gammaproteobacteria; Alteromonadales; Pseudoalteromonadaceae.
GGCCUAACACAUGCAAGUCGAGCGGUAACAUUUCUAGCUUGCUAGAAGAUGACGAGCGGCGGACGGGUGAGUAAUGCUUGGGAACAUGCCUUUAGGUGGGGGACAACCAUUGGAAACGAUGGCUAAUACCGCAUAAUGUCUACGGACCAAAGGGGGCUUCGGCUCUCGCCUUUAGAUUGGCCCAAGUGGGAUUAGCUAGUUGGUGAGGUAAUGGCUCACCAAGGCAACGAUCCCUAGCUGGUUUGAGAGGAUGAUCAGCCACACUGGAACUGAGACACGGUCCAGACUCCUACGGGAGGCAGCAGUGGGGAAUAUUGCACAAUGGGCGCAAGCCUGAUGCAGCCAUGCCGCGUGUGUGAAGAAGGCCUUCGGGUUGUAAAGCACUUUCAGUUGUGAGGAAAGGUUAGUAGUUAAUACCUGCUAGCUGUGACGUUAGCAACAGAAGAAGCACCGGCUAACUCCGUGCCAGCAGCCGCGGUAAUACGGAGGGUGCGAGCGUUAAUCGGAAUUACUGGGCGUAAAGCGUACGCAGGCGGUUUGUUAAGCGAGAUGUGAAAGCCCCGGGCUCAACCUGGGAACUGCAUUUCGAACUGGCAAACUAGAGUGUGAUAGAGGGUGGUAGAAUUUCAGGUGUAGCGGUGAAAUGCGUAGAGAUCUGAAGGAAUACCGAUGGCGAAGGCAGCCACCUGGGUCAACACUGACGCUCAUGUACGAAAGCGUGGGGAGCAAACGGGAUUAGAUACCCCGGUAGUCCACGCCGUAAACGAUGUCUACUAGGAGUUCGGUUUUUCGGAACUGUCUUCCAAAGCUAACGCAUUAAGUAGACCGCCUGGGGAGUACGGCCGCAAGGUUAAAACUCAAAUGAAUUGACGGGGGCCCGCACAAGCGGUGGAGCAUGUGGUUUAAUUCGAUGCAACGCGAAGAACCUUACCUACACUUGAC